GGGCAUCAGGUGACACCGUGGGAUGCAUGUGCAAACAGCCACCUGGCAUUGCAACAGGUACAGGUGGAUGUCGGGGCAGCUCCAGAGCCAGAAUACUCCAGGCUAUUCCCAGAGUAUUCUGGCCCUUGCAGACACCACCUAGGAUAGAAGGGUAAUGGGGCUUAAGGUAAGCCAAACCAAGUCCUAGGAGCCUGGCUGUCUCAUUCCCAAUUUCUUCUUCCACGCGGUUGCAUUGACUGGGGCCAGCUUCAAAGAAAAUCUUGCCUUCAAGAGUGAAGAAAUUGCCAGCUUUGCAAAGUCAAGAGCCGGAGCACUACGGCCCUUUGCUUUCUCGACCUGUACAUUAAGCAGGCAGUAUGUAUGCACACUAAGUCAUCAUAAUAUUUGUGUGUGCAUGUGUUGAUAUGGCGGUGCCUAUUUCCAAAGUGCUAGCCUGGCAUUAUUAAAUAAUAGAACAGAACUGUGUUCCCUGGGAGACAGGCAUGGAGGAGAUAUUGCAGGGCAAAAGUCUCUCUUCAGCGACUGCUGUUAUCUGCGGGAUGCCUGACCUAACACUCAAAUUUUACAGCAUCAGGAAAACUCCCCGAAAGUGACCUAAACCUUUGGCUCAUGGAGAGAUUUUUUUCUUUACUCAAGGCAGCCUGGACUGACUUUGCGAGACUUCAAUGCACCUGCUUCAAGCCAGCCGACAUCACCCACAGUGUGUUAUUAUGACUCAGCAAAUGAUAAGAGCGUUUUUUGACACCGUUUAACACAUGAAAAGCUAAAUUUCAACUUGUUGCUCAGUCCAACUAUGGGAAACACGCACAGCAGUUACAGACCUGAUCCUGAACUGUGCUGAGCUUUCACUACUCUGGAAAGUGGUAAAUUCUGCAUGGAAAGUGACGCUGCCACAUAAGAUCUUUAAAAAGGAAAAAUAUGAUCUCUCUAGGCCUUGGGAGGUCCUCCAGCAUGACUCUAUGGUCUACUUCAAUUGGAAAUAUAGGGUUCACUAUUAUCCAUCAGCGUAGGAUUUCAAGUCACGAUGAGUCACCCAUCUUGAUGGAAGCCAGCCAGCAUCGCAUCUCUCCAGCCUAAUGUCCCUGGAUUCCACAAUAAUACAGGGACGGAAACUAAUUUCAAUCAAGCGCACAGAGGAGAGAAGUGGGAGGAGGAAUUAUUUGACAAGCAAAGUUCCCAGCUGACCCUUCUUUUUAACUAUAAUAAGCUCACCUAUCUCUCCAAGGGGAUGACCUUCAGUCCAUUCUCGGAUGCAGCAGAGAAUCAACCUCUUGCCCUCUUUUAUACUUGACAACUUCUCCAUCUUCUAUUACUUUAAUAUCCUUGCUUUUAAAUAUACAUAUCAUAUUUCCUUCCGGCAGCAAAUUCCCUAUCCCUCCCUCCAUAUGCCUGAUUUAGCUGGCCCUUCCGCUUGCCAUCCCAUAGAGCCAGUCGUGCUGAUUUUAUAACCCCUCCACCGCUCUCCCUGGGCUAGGAUAUGAUUGCAAAAACUCAGAGGGUUCAUUAGUAGCUUGAUAAUCCCUCUAGAUUUAUUAAUUUAAAUGGCUCCUCUCCCAUCGCCUCUCUUCAUUUAAAUAUUACUAAUUUCCUUAAAUUUCUCUUCCAUCUGGCCAGGUUUUCAGCCAGUUCCACUUUCCUUCUUAAUUAACCCUGUCAGAACACUGUCGGCGGUAAGACUACAUUUCCCCCCAAUAAAUUAAUCAAUAAACGAGAGUAAAUAGAGAACACUUUUCACAUGGGACAGACUGAGCUUGAGAAGAGUUCUCUGAAGGACACCAAAUAUUUGAUCAUUUUGCACAAUGAAGCUAGUUACAGAUCUAAUUAAGUCAGCUCCAUAUCCUCACUAUGUUAGUGUGUCAUAAGCCAGGGAGUAGAGUUGGCCUUCCAGAAGUGCAUGGUGCAAAUCCUACCUUGCAACAGACUCUCUUUGAGCCAGGAGCAGUUGUUUUCUUUGCAGAGCAACUGUGUCCAUACCUCAACCUGCCCUAUCUUGCAAUAACAGCUGCACGCUAAACCAAAAUUAGCUUGUAAAUGACUCUUUCAUCUGUAGAAUGUAUGCAUGCACAUAAAGUAUCCUCUUUUAUGAUUCGGUGGGACACACUGUCAAGUCAGCACCUGCAAUGUACUCUUUUGCCCCCUGUCACACUUUG
This is a long non-coding RNA of Sceloporus undulatus (fence lizard), 2150 nucleotides long. RefSeq lists it as uncharacterized. The transcript is spliced from 3 exons. The record is from RefSeq and is a predicted model, not a curated record. Lineage: Eukaryota; Metazoa; Chordata; Lepidosauria; Squamata; Phrynosomatidae.